AAAUGCGAUAAGUAAUGUGAAUUGCAGAAUUCAGUGAAUCAUCGAAUCUUUGAACGCACCUUGCGCUCCUUGGUAUUCCUUGGAGCAUGCCUGUUUGAGUAUCAUGAAAUCUUCAAAGUAAAUCUUUUGUUAACUCAAUUGGUUUCUACUUUGUUAUUGGAGGUCUUUGCAGCUUCACACCUGCUCCUCUUUGUUCAUUAGCUGGAUCUCAGUGUUAUGCUUGGUUCCACUCGGCGUGAUAAGUUAUCUAUCGCUGAGGACACUGUAAAAGGUGGCCAAGGUAAAUGCAGAUGAACCGCUUCUAAUAGUCCAUUGACUUGGACAAUACUUUUAUGAUCUGAUCUCAAAUCAGGUAGGACUACCCGCUGAACUUAAGC
RNAcentral lists this unclassified non-coding RNA (377 nucleotides) under plant metagenome. RNAcentral describes it as "partial contains 5.8S ribosomal RNA, internal transcribed spacer 2, and large subunit ribosomal RNA". The stretch from base 1 to 104 matches the Rfam family "5.8S ribosomal RNA", at positions 51 to 154 of the family's 154-position model. The record is from RNAcentral.